This 1978-nucleotide long non-coding RNA is filed under the name Equus asinus (donkey). RNAcentral describes it as "lncRNA (ENSEASG00005034137.1)". Lineage: Eukaryota; Metazoa; Chordata; Mammalia; Perissodactyla; Equidae. The record is from RNAcentral.
CCGAGAUUAGUCAACAGGGAAAGGCCGGUCUCUUAACAAUGGUGCUGGAAAACUGGACAUGUGCAUGCAGGAGAAUGAAAACGGACUCUUCUCUCACACCAUCCACCCCACAAACCAGCACAGACUCACCAAGGACUUAAACGUGACACAGGAACCUGUGAGAUCCCUGGAAGAAGACUCAGGGACGGCCUCACCUUCCUUAUCCGUGCCCGAGUUCCUCCUCUCUUCCAUCUUCUUUCACAUGGAGCAGCAUUGUCUCAUGUUUCCCAGCGUCCUGGUCUGAAAGUGGGAUGUCCACUCGCAUUAGUGUGUGGUCGCCCUGAAGUGCACCUGCAUCCUCGAUAUGAUGCUGAGGUUGGACGUCAGGAUUGUAACACAGUUGCUUACACGUGGCUUUUGCCCUAUUUUGGACAGUCUCCUCAGCGGUGUCCUGGACAUCAGAUUGCUGGGUCAAAGUUGACGUUUUAUGGUUUUUGAGAUGUUUCUGUUGAGCAUUUUUCAAAUGACACCUUGCACCUCCCAUGAGCGUGGCUGUAACACAGGCCCCUCCUCUUCUCUGCUCAGUGCCGCCCCUUGGGAGGUCCCAGCCCUUCUCUUUGAGGUCAUUUGUCCCCUCAGGCUGUCCUGCUGUGUAGAACUGGGGGAUGCCUCCUGUGGAACUUGAGGACCGGAGGUCAGCCCAGGAAGGCAGCUUCUCAGCAGAACCUAGGCCGUGGCUGGAGCCUGGAGGCUACAGGGCCGGGGCACCUCCUGCCUGAGGCUGGGGAAGCCCCCUGCCCUACAGCCUCCACCUUCAUUUCUGGACUGAAGGUCAGAUGCCCAACCCUGGGGCCCAGGAGGAGCCCCUCCAUCAGCCGACGAGGGUCCCAGGGAGAGGCCGGUCCAGUGACUGUUCCCUAUUGUCAGGCAGAAGCAAAGUCACAAGACGACACGUCAUGAGUCAUGAGGGGCUUCUGCUGUGUAUCCAGGAGCCGUCCAGGGUGUGAACUAGAAGAGACGCCACCGCCCAUGUGGCUGCACGACUGCAGAGGGGAGAUGGCAGAUCUGGAGGGCCCCGCCUGACACCCUGAGGGGCAGAGGCUCAAGACCGAGUGAUGUACAGAGACCCCUCACCCACCACUCCCUGCCAGGUGAGAGUCCGUGUGCCAGCCAGCCACCCCCUUCCCUGUCCCAGGCAGGAAUCGCUUGAGUCCAGCACCAUCGGCGUCCAGUACCAGGAGGGAGUGAGAGGACAGCUGUCCCUUUGCUGGACAGGAGGCCCCCGAGAAGACGUGCUUCUCCUUAUGUCAAAGUACAGAUGAGCCCAGGAAAACAUGACUCGGGGAUUUGGGGACCUAGAUGAGCUGAUUUUAAGUUCACAUGGAGAAAUCACUGAACAAGAAAAUCCAGGAAAACUUGAGGAGCUGUCACCAGAGGGAUGAGCCUGACAGCAAUGAAAACACAGAGAUGACUCAGUGUGAUACUGCCGUGACCCAGAACAGCCUUUCCAAGGGAACACGUGUCCCGGGAGCCACUUACAACAAGUGACACAUGCACCCCACAGAGUCACGUGUCUCUGUGGGAAAUGUGUAAUCAGAGUCAGAGAAGAGCACGGAACAGGGAAAUGUCUGCCCUUCCGAUUUCCUGAGUGGAGGGCGCUUCCGCAAACCCGCUCUUUAAAAGACCAAACAGCAAAGGGACAUGAGGUGGAAGCUGACACCUGAGGGAGGACAGUGGCUCCUGAUGACGAGGCAUCCUAUCACCUCGCUGCUGAGAGACAUGCGGAUGAAGCUGGGAAGCCCUUCAGGCUGCACCUGUCACCCCAUGGCCUGGUGGAAUGGCAGCACCCCCAAGUUCCGCCCACUGCCUGGCACCCUGACUGCUCUUGUCCAUAGCAGUUGGAGGCACUUGUCUCCUUUGUGAGCGGCUCUGCCGUCUCACACUGCCCACCUCGAUGUGAGUGCAGGAGGCACAACUCACACCGCAACUGGUCAGUCAG